RNAcentral lists this ribosomal RNA (299 nucleotides) under uncultured eukaryote. RNAcentral's name for it is "partial large subunit ribosomal RNA". It matches the Rfam family "Eukaryotic large subunit ribosomal RNA", at positions 40 to 350 of the family's 3401-position model. The record is from RNAcentral.
AUAUCAAUAAGCGGAGGAAAAGAAACUAACCAGGAUUCCCUUAGUAACGGCGAGUGAAGCGGGACAAGCUCAGACUGAAAAGCUUCGGCGUUGUAGUCUGGAGAAGUGAAGUCAGCAUUAAGUUUCGGAUAAAGUCUCUUGGAACAGAGCGCCGUGGAGGGUGAUAGCCCCGUUCGUAUCGAUGGAAUGAGUUAGUAGAUGCCUAUCAACGAGUCGAGUUGUUUGGGAUUGCAGCUCAAAGCGGGAGGUAAAUUCCUUCUAAAGCUAAAUACGGAUAGGAGACCGAUAGCGCACAAGUA